Molecule: unclassified non-coding RNA, 216 nt
Filed under: Histomonas meleagridis
Lineage: Eukaryota; Parabasalia; Tritrichomonadida; Dientamoebidae
Description: sequence contains ITS1, 5.8S rRNA gene and ITS2
Rfam family: 5.8S ribosomal RNA (bases 36-192)
About the family: 5.8S ribosomal RNA (5.8S rRNA) is a component of the large subunit of the eukaryotic ribosome. It is transcribed by RNA polymerase I as part of the 45S precursor that also contains 18S and 28S rRNA.
Source: RNAcentral
AAUAAUAUACAAAAUUAAUUUUCAAUCAUUAAUUAAACCUUAAACAACGGAUGUCUUGGCUCUUUACACGAAGAAGAACAUUGCAUAAUGUGAUAAGCGACUAGAUUAGCUCAAUUUGUGAUAAGUUCGAUCUUUGAAUGCAUAUUGCGUAUUUAUUAAUUUAUUAAUAAAUACAUAUAUAAUUUAGUAACAAAUAAUAAUUAAUUAAUCAUUUUA